GAGGUUAGUAGGAGAGGGGGAAGGCUCAAGGCUGUCUGCUGCUGCUGCUGAUUCUUUCCUCUGCUGCUACUUUCCUUCCACUUUCUUCUGCACACCAAUGAUGAGCUGUAGUAGGAACUCUAGAUUAGUCUAGAGAAUAGUCCAAUGUGGUGUAUUUCCAUGGAGGUUUGGUGAGGGGCUUCCCUCCUCCUACUACUACUAAUGUCAGAUGCCAGAAACGUUGAAGGGAAAGAACAGAAAGCAUUAGUGGUUCUAGUUCCUGUUCUACCACAUGGUCAUGAGGAGAGGGGCCAGUCUUAGUGAUCAGCAUAGAGGGGGACCCUGAGAAGACAGAUUGCUAUCCUCCGAAUCUUCAGCAGAUCAAAAAUGAUAUGAAAGAGGACGCGGACACUUGUCCUCUGGCCCUGGCGGCGUCCAUCCCAGUUCCCAGACCGACAAAAGAAGAGCACCGACGCCACGCAGGCGCAGCGGCAGCAUUGUUUGAGACGCAGAUAAACAAGUCGUCUUCUUCCUAACGCCUAACAACCAUCUUUGUCCUAGUAGCACCGGAAGAGAAAAAACAACGACACGUUUUCAUACUUCGUUCUUGCUUUUGUAAACGGGAAAUUAAAGUCGCUUCUCGUUUUGUUAAUUGUUAUCGUGCUGCUGCUGAGCUGCUACAGACGGGUGAGUACCGACCCUCGCUUGGUCAAACGCGGGACGCACAAGGCAGAACCGAGUGAAGGUCGUGGAGUCCGCACCUGGUCCCUGCCUCGACAGCUGGCCUUGUCAGGGUCCUAGAAACAUCUAGGUGCAAAUCUAGUCCACACGGGUGGAGAUCACUCUAACAUUGUCCUCCUUAAUCUCAACUUUUUUUUAACUAUAUAUUUUUUACUUUACUCAUUCCUUGAA
Molecule: long non-coding RNA, 891 nt
Organism: Brachypodium distachyon (stiff brome)
Lineage: Eukaryota; Viridiplantae; Streptophyta; Magnoliopsida; Poales; Poaceae
Exons: 3
Source: RefSeq, a predicted model, not a curated record